CAGUAGCCGCGGGAAUACAGAGGGUGCGAGCGUUAAUCGGAUUUACUGGGCGUAAAGCGUGCGUAGGCGGCUUCUUAAGUCGGAUGUGAAAUCCCUGAGCUUAACUUAGGAAUUGCAUUCGAUACUGGGAAGCUAGAGUAUGGGAGAGGAUGGUAGAAUUCCAGGUGUAGCGGUGAAAUGCGUAGAGAUCUGGAGGAAUACCGAUGGCGAAGGCAGCCAUCUGGCCUAAUACUGACGCUGAGGUACGAAAGCAUGGGGAGCAAACAGGAUUAGAUACCCCAGUAGUCCCUGUCUCUUUACA
Molecule: ribosomal RNA, 301 nt
Filed under: uncultured bacterium
Lineage: Bacteria
Description: partial 16S ribosomal RNA
Rfam family: Bacterial small subunit ribosomal RNA
Source: RNAcentral